GUGACGAACAUAUAGAAUAUUGAUUUGCACCAGAUUACUUAAUUCAAAAUCAUGGAUUUAUCUUUGAAAAAAAACCAUGACGAGCAAAAUGAAAAACAUCAUAUCACGUCUAUUUUUCAACCGAAGAAAACUUCACAUUUUUCUUCAAAAAUCUGUCAAAGUACAUCAAAUCCACAUUCAAAUUUAUACUCAUCAAAUAUUGCUUCAAAUUCCUCAGCAUUUAAAACACAACAGAUUAGAGGUGUUCAAACAACAAGCAAUACUAAACCCCCUGAUAUAGUAUUGUUGCCAGCGACUUCUUCCGAUUUUACUCCUGCAGACUACUCAAAUGUGAUAUAUUCUCAUUCAAAUGAAUAUUCAUCGAAUUCUGCUUCAGAUUUUUCAGUAUUUACAGCGCAAAAGAUUAGAGGUGUUCAAACAACAAGUGAUAUUAAACCUCUUAAUAUAAUUUUUUUGCCAGCGACUUCUUCAGAUUUUACUCCCGCAGACUACUCAAAUGUGAUAUAUUCUCAUUCAAAUGAAUAUUCAUCGAAUUCUGCUUCAGAUUUUUCAGUAUUUACAGCGCAAAAGAUUAGAGCUGUUGAAACAAGUGAUAUUAAACCUCCUAUUAUUGUUUGUUCAUCGGCAACUACUUCACAUUUCACUUUGCCACAUUACCCAAAUAUGUUAUACACUCAAUCUAAAGAAUACUCAUCGAAUACUGCUUCAGAUUCCUCAGCAUUUGAAACACAAAAUAUUAGAGUCAUUAAAACAAAAAAUAAUACAAUACCCUCUGGUAUUAUUUAUUCACCGGUGACUACUUCACAUUUUACUUCAAGAAUCUAUUCAAGAAUCAAUAAAACUGAGGAAGUUAGUCCUUUAAAUCCUCCUUUAUCAUCAGUGAAUACAUCGAAUUUUUCUCCUAUGGAUAACAAAGGAAUCAGCCCUAAAGUUAUAGAGUACGUUUUAGAACGCCAAAAAAGUGCUGCUAAUCAAAGUUUAGUCGAUAAAGUGGAUAUUAAUUGCACUGUGUGCAGCACCGAUGAACAUAAUCCUGUCAAACAUGUUAUUAUUCCUGAAAAUGAUCAAAUUCCACUUCAACUGCCCAGCAUGCCUAGGAUACAAGAAAUACCUGAAUCAACACAGCCAAAUAUCUUAGUAAAAUCUAAAAGAGUAAUAAGAAGAUGUAUACCAAAUGUACCGAUAAGUAAACAUAAACCUAUUAACAAAAAAAUGUUUCAAGAAUCAAUUCAAGUAUACAACUUCAAUAAACUUAAUAAACAAAAUAAAUCAACUAAACCAAUUGAAGUUUAUCCAAGUUCUUGUUCAUCCAUUCAAUCAUCUUACUCAGUAGGUGAAAAGAGCGCAUUUAAACCCUAUUAUACACAAUCAAUAAAAAAUUCAACAAACUUUGAAAUUCCGGGGAAAACUGAAUUAUUUUAUCUUCCAAUUUACGAUAUAUCAAUGUUAUCUCCAUUACAAGCUACUGAUGAAACUGAUAGUCAUUCUUUUGAAUUACAAGAUGGUCUGGAGUUGGAACCACGUGCAUAUAGAAUGUGCAAUCCUUCAUCUCAUAAUAUACCAUUAACUCAAUUUACACCCAUUGGAAAUUCAAUCAAACCAGGUAUACCAAAAUUGUCAGCUCAUGAAGUUGGAGAUGAACUUAAUAUUUGUCCUGUAAUAUUACAUCCUUCAAAACAAUUGGGUUCACAAGUUCAGAUGAAAAGUGAUGGGCUUAUUAAAACAAUUGGAUUUGCACCUGCACGAUCUCAAAUGACAGCUCAAGCGCAAAACCGUAUUGUUACAACAUCAAUGCAACGUUCUAUUAUGGAAUCUCAAAAUGUUUCCCCUCUUAUAAUAACACCUACAUCGCAUGUUAUUCAUUCGUCAAAUGAAGUUGUUCCUGCUAAAAUUGUUCCAAUACCAUCAACUCCUGCUGUAUCACAUUUUUCUGUAAUAAAUAAGACAGGUUCUUAUGAUAGCAUACCUGAAUAUACAGGUAUACGUCAAAGUUUGGUGCCAGGCACACCACCAGUUUAUACUCAGAGUGAUUUUGCUCGUUUUCCUCCUAAAAGUUACCACCAUAAAAAUGCUGUUGUUAAUCCUGCAGUUAUUCAUGGUCCCAUUCCUGGAAAUAUUGAUGAGCCGUGCAUAAAUAUACCCAAUAGUCAACAUGUAUUUAAACCAAUUAUUUCACCCAGGCCUAGUAUUUUAAGGAAGCGUGAUGCAGAUGGUGUACUUAGAGCGCAAAAAAACCUAAUACCAAUAUUAACCAAGCCUGAUAUUGAAGAAUGUCAAAAUACAGACGAAACAUCACUAAAUAGAAAUGGAUAUAGUGAAACUGGUUUACAAUUAGAUUCACUUGUGGUACCACAAAUACCAGAGGUAAGAUUACUACCUCAAAUUUCUGCCUUAAAUAAGCAAUCACACAUAAUGGUUGAAAUUAGUCCACGGAAAAAACCUCGUAAACAGCUACUCCCUGUUAAUCAAGAAGAUAGUCCAUUUAAAAUAGUUGGUGAUGAUAUGGAGUAUGUGGAAGAAAAAUCAAUAAAAAAUGAUAAAUCCGAAGAUUUUACCGAUGAAGUUUUCAAUUGUAAUGACGAUUUAAUUGAUGGCGAUGCUGAAGAUGAAGCAGAAGAUGACUUAGAUGAUAUGGAUGUUGAUGAUGAUUGUCCUGCUGAUGAUGAUUAUGAUGACGAUGAUGAUGAUUUCGGGAAUGAUUUUGGAGACGAAUUUGAUUAUGUUAAGUCCGAUAAAACAUUCUUUGAAGAAAAUAAAACACCUGCAGAAGUCAGUGAUGAAAGCUCAGCUUGUGUUAAACCUAAAAAUAAACGACCAACAUUAUUGGGAAGUUAUAAAAAUACGUGGCGGGGGGGAAACUCUCACCAUUUUCAAAGGCACAUUGAUUUUAAAGUCAAAGAAACUAAAAAGCAAUUAGCUGAUAUGCAACAAGCUAAAAAAUGGACGUCAGAUAGCAUAUCUGGAUGGAGAGUUCGGCACUUAUUAGAUCAAUUUGAUGAAAUGAUAAAUAUCGAAGACGACAUUAUUACAAGAAUGACUGAACUUAUGUCUGGAAUUGAAGCUAAUGUAAAAGAUCUUAGGCAGCGCCAUAAUCUCAUUGAACUCGUUAAAGAUAACAUUCAAAGAAGCAAAGUAUCAAGAGCUCAAUUAGAUGAAAUUAGACAGCAAUUGAAAAAAAUAUUCGACUAUAAAUCAUUGAUUGAAGACGUAGUUGAUAAAUAUUGUCCCAAAGACCUUAAAAAGAAAUAUGCAAAAGUAUUUAAUCUUAGCAAAUCUUAGACGAUAUGUAUUGCCAAUAAGAAUAAUUUGAUUUACACUGCACAUAUAUCAGAGAAAUACCCAAUGAAGUAUGUUUAUUGCAAGUACAUUAAUGGUAUAGAAAAUAAAUGAUUUUCAAGCUUCGAUAAAAACUGAAAACGAUUCUAGUGAACAAGUAGAAGAUUUGUUUAUGUUGGAGUUUAAAUAAUUGAUAAUCAGCUUAAACGGUGCACUAGGAAUAUUGAUCAGAUGGGUUAUUCAAAUUUCAAAAUAUUAAUACAGGUCGUGUGUUAAAAUGUUUUGGGAUUAUGCACUAUCAACAUGGUUGGUGUUGAAGGAGUGAAUAAUAACCAAUGCUCUCCGUUAAUGGAAUAAGUUACAAGGAGAUGAAUAUGUUGGUUAGGAUUUACCAUCAAAUUCACUUCACCUGUUAAAGAAUGGCAAAAUCAAUUUUUUAAUUUACAAAAUAAUACAUUUUGGAGCUAUCAAGAAGUUUUAUCUUUCUGUGGUUAAAAAUUGAUGUCCUGAAAAGAUGUGCUUGUAAUCAACCACCUCUGAAUAAGCGUCACUUGCAUCACACGGAGACACAUCGUAGCCAAGGAACCUCCAUGUCCAGAUUGCAGUAUUUUCGUGCAGUAAAAUCGAGUGAUCUAUAGUUACAAAUUAUUGGUAAUAAUACUUUGAACUAAUACUAUUUAUGAAAUUACUGAAAUUCAUAUAUUUAAAAUAGGUCU
Molecule: RNA transcript, 3992 nt
Organism: Melanaphis sacchari
Lineage: Eukaryota; Metazoa; Arthropoda; Insecta; Hemiptera; Aphididae
Exons: 33
Source: RefSeq, a predicted model, not a curated record